Molecule: ribosomal RNA, 123 nt
Filed under: Pyronema omphalodes
Lineage: Eukaryota; Fungi; Ascomycota; Pezizomycetes; Pezizales; Pyronemataceae
Source: RNAcentral
AGCUACGGUCAUAGAAUCAUGAAUACAACGCAUCCCGUCCGCUCUGCGCUAUUUAAGCAUGAUAUCGUCCGGCUAGUACUGUCGUGGGUGACCAGACGGGAAUCCCGGAUACUGUAGUUUUCG